UAAUUUAUUAUAAUAAAUUUUUACAUCUAAGUAAUUAAAUUGGUAAUAUAAAGUUCCACCUUCCAUCUCAUACUUGAUUGCAUUGCUUUACAAAAUUGUGGUUCUAACAAUUUUAUGUUAUUCAAAUCUUUUUUCAUCACAUUGUCUAUCUCAAUUGCAACUUGAGUUGCAAUAAUUUUGAAUUCUUUCUAUAAAUUUCUCAAUGUAAUUUAUGUUAAAAAGAAUUAUAUACCAAGUCUAAGUGCCAAAUUUUUCAUACAUA
This 262-nucleotide long non-coding RNA is filed under the name Physcomitrium patens. Its description in RNAcentral is "long non-coding RNA (PPAT_LNC004695)". The record is from RNAcentral. Lineage: Eukaryota; Viridiplantae; Streptophyta; Bryopsida; Funariales; Funariaceae.